RNAcentral lists this ribosomal RNA (564 nucleotides) under Notarius insculptus. RNAcentral describes it as "partial 16S ribosomal RNA". It matches the Rfam family "Bacterial large subunit ribosomal RNA", at positions 1819 to 2595 of the family's 2925-position model. The record is from RNAcentral. Lineage: Eukaryota; Metazoa; Chordata; Actinopteri; Siluriformes; Ariidae.
CCUCCCGCAAAUACCAACGUAUAGGAGGUCCCGCCUGCCCAGUGACAUGUUUUAAACGGCCGCGGUAUUCUGACCGUGCAAAGGUAGCGCAAUCACUUGUCUUUUAAAUAAAGACCUGUAUGAAUGGUAGAACGAGGGCUUAACUGUCUCCCUUUUUAAGUCAAUGAAAUUGAUCUGCCCGUGCAGAAGCGGACAUAAUAAUACAAGACGAGAAGACCCUUUGGAGCUUAAGACCUCAGAUCAACUAUGUCAAGAACUAAAUUAAGUUAAACUAAUUAUGCCUGAUCCUAGUCUUUAGUUGGGGCGACCACGGGAGAAAAUAAAGCUCCCACGAGGACUGGACCCACCUCCUCUAGAACCAAGAGAGACAUCUCUAAGUCACAGAACCUCUGACCAUAAGACCCGGCCCCCCGGCCGAUUAACGGACCAAGUUACCCCAGGGAUAACAGCGCAAUCCCCUUUCAGAGCCCAUAUCGACAAGGGGGUUUACGACCUCGAUGUUGGAUCAGGACAUCCUAAUGGUGCAGCCGCUAUUAAGGGUUCGUUUGUUCAACGAUUAAAGUC